Molecule: ribosomal RNA, 303 nt
Filed under: uncultured bacterium
Lineage: Bacteria
Description: partial 16S ribosomal RNA
Rfam family: Bacterial small subunit ribosomal RNA
Source: RNAcentral
AGCAGUAGCCGCGGGAAUACGGAGGGAGCUAGCGUUGUUCGGAAUUACUGGGCGUAAAGCGCACGUAGGCGGUUAUUCAAGUCAGAGGUGAAAGCCCGGGGCUCAACCCCGGAACUGCCUUUGAAACUAGAUGACUGGAAUCUUGGAGAGGUCAGUGGAGUUCCGAGUGUAGAGGUGAAAUUCGUAGAUAUUCGGAAGAACACCAGUGGCGAAGGCGACUGACUGGACAAGUAUUGACGCUGAGGUGCGAAAGCGUGGGGAGCAAACAGGAUUAGAUACCCGCGUAGUCCCUGUCUCUUAUAC